This 1249-nucleotide ribosomal RNA is filed under the name uncultured marine eukaryote. RNAcentral's name for it is "SSU rRNA". It matches the Rfam family "Eukaryotic small subunit ribosomal RNA", at positions 384 to 1677 of the family's 1831-position model. The record is from RNAcentral.
CGGAGAGGGCGCAUGAGAAACGGCUACCACAUCUAAGGAAGGCAGCAGGCGCGUAAAUUACCCAAUCCUGACUCAGGGAGGUAGUGACAAGAAAUAACAACCUGGGGGUCAAUUGACCUUACGGGAUUGCAAUGAGAACAAUCUAAAUCACUUAACGAGGAACAAUUGGAGGGCAAGUCUGGUGCCAGCAGCCGCGGUAAUUCCAGCUCCAAUAGCGUAUAUUAAAGUUGUUGCAGUUAAAAAGCUCGUAGUUGAACUUCUGGCGGUGUUUAGUUUCGGCUUUGGUCGGGCUAGGUACCGUCAUCCGUUUGCGAACUAGGUUCAUCCUUUACUGGUUGGCUUGGGGAGCAGACAAUUUACCUUGAAAAAAUUAGAGUGUUUCAGGCAGGCAAUCGCCCGAAUACAUUAGCAUGGAAUAAUGGAAUAGGACUUUUGUCCAUUUGGUUGGUUAUUGGACUUGAGUAAUGAUUAAUAGGGACAGUUGGGGGCAUUAGUAUUUAAUUGUCAGAGGUGAAAUUCUUGGAUUUAUUAAAGACUAACUUAUGCGAAAGCAUUUGCCAAGGAUGUUUUCAUUAAUCAUGAACGAAAGUUAGGGGAUCAAAGACGAUCAGAUACCGUCCUAGUCUUAACUAUAAACUAUACCGACUCGGGAUUGGAAGGGUCUUUAAAGCCCUUUCAGCACCGUAUGAGAAAUCAAGGUCUUUGGGUUCUGGGGAGAGUAUGGUCGCAAGGCUGAAACUUAAAGGAAUUGACGGAAGGGCACCACCAGGAGUGGAGCCUGCGGCUUAAUUUGACUCAACACGGGGAAACUUACCAGGUCAAAACAUGGGUGGGAUUGACAGAUUGAGAGCUCUUUCUUGAUUCUAUGGGUGGUGGUGCAUGGCCGUUCUUAGUUGGUGGAGUGAUUUGUCUGGUUAAUUCCGUUAACGAACGAGACCUUAACCUGCUAACUAGUUCCUUGGUGCGCAACCGGGGAAACUUCUUAGAGGGACUAUGAGAUUGAAGCUCAUGGAAGUCUGAGGCAAUAACAGGUCUGUGAUGCCCUUAGAUGUCCUGGGCCGCACGCGCGCUACAAUGACACGUUCAGCAAGUCCUAUCCUGGCUCGGAAGAGUUCGGGUAAUCUUUUUAAUACGUGUCGUGUUAGGGAUCGAUCUUUGGAAUUAUAGAUCUUGAACGAGGAAUUCCUAGUAAGUGCAAGUCAUCAGCUUGUACUGAUUACGUCCCUGCCCUUUGUACACACCGCCCGUA